GAUGAACGCUGGCGGCGUGCCUAAUACAUGCAAGUCGAGCGAACAGACGAGGAGCUUGCUCCUCUGACGUUAGCGGCGGACGGGUGAGUAACACGUGGAUAACCUACCUAUAAGACUGGGAUAACUUCGGGAAACCGGAGCUAAUACCGGAUAAUAUAUUGAACCGCAUGGUUCAAUAGUGAAAGACGGUUUUGCUGUCACUUAUAGAUGGAUCCGCGCCGCAUUAGCUAGUUGGUAAGGUAACGGCUUACCAAGGCAACGAUGCGUAGCCGACCUGAGAGGGUGAUCGGCCACACUGGAACUGAGACACGGUACAGACUCCUACGGGAGGCAGCAGUAGGGAAUCUUCCGCAAUGGGCGAAAGCUUGACGGAGCAACGCCGCGUGAGUGAUGAAGGUCUUCGGAUCGUAAAACUCUGUUAUUAGGGAAGAACAAAUGUGUAAGUAACUAUGCACGUCUUGACGGUACCUAAUCAGAAAGCCACGGCUAACUACGUG
Molecule: ribosomal RNA, 497 nt
Filed under: uncultured bacterium
Lineage: Bacteria
Description: partial 16S ribosomal RNA
Rfam family: Bacterial small subunit ribosomal RNA
Source: RNAcentral